Molecule: long non-coding RNA, 678 nt
Filed under: Monodelphis domestica (gray short-tailed opossum)
Lineage: Eukaryota; Metazoa; Chordata; Mammalia; Didelphimorphia; Didelphidae
Description: lncRNA (ENSMODG00000040566.1)
Source: RNAcentral
GCUUCACUAAUAAUUUAUCAGGGUGUCUUUUUCCCUUGUCUACUUUCCCAUUGUCUAUUUUGGCUUUUCCUCAUUUCUUCCAAUUUGCUGAGAAUGAGGUAAAAACUCUAGUUAUUUUAAUUUGUAUUUCUCUGAUUAUUAGUGAUUUGAAGCAAUCUCUUAUAUCAUUUUUAUCAUUUGCAAUUUAGCUCCACAUGAUAACAAGGUCAGUGACAAUCUAGAAUUUAUGUAGGAGAAGGCAACCAGGAAGGGUAGGUGACUUGAAGUUAUUCCAUGGAAAUCAAUUAGUGGACCUGGAGGAGGAGAGUCUUUCCCUGGAUCCUGCGUCAGCUUACAAUGUGGAAGUUCUCAACUAAGGCAAGGUUCAAAUCAUACCUCUCCAUGAUGCCUUGGUUCAACAAGAGAGGGAAAAGAAUUUGUUCAGCCCCAAAGGCAAAUUUCCCACUCAAACUGAUAGAUUAUUAUUUCUGGAUGAAGCUUUUAGAUUCAGACAGACGGUGUGGAAAUAAUAGACUGCAGCUGAUUCAGACACAAGAGGAAGAAACUGGGGCAGAGAGAAAUGAAAUGACUGGUAAAUGUCAGAGGCAAGAUUCAAACCCAGGUAUUCCUGACUUCAAGUCUAGCACUUUAACCACUGUCCAUGUUACUAAUUUGACAUCUGCUGAUGUAGUGAUGCCA